GUCUAUAGUAAUACCAUCCUGAACACACAAUCAAGUCUGAUCUCAGAAGCUAAGCAGGGUCGGGCCUGGUUAGCACUAGGAUGGGAGAGUGCCUGGGAACACUGGGUGCUAUAGGCU
Ribosomal RNA from Otolemur garnettii (small-eared galago), 117 nucleotides. Lineage: Eukaryota; Metazoa; Chordata; Mammalia; Primates; Galagidae. The record is from Ensembl.